Rattus norvegicus (Norway rat) is the source of this 3139-nucleotide non-coding RNA. NCBI's taxonomy places the organism in Eukaryota, Metazoa, Chordata, Mammalia, Rodentia, Muridae. The record is from RefSeq and is a predicted model, not a curated record.
UGGAUGGAUGGAUGGAUGGAUGGAUGGAUGGAUGGAUGGAUGGAUGGCGUUUGUUUUUGAGAAGAAGAUGACCUGGCUGACCACUUGCCACUUUUCUCACUGGAUGCGAUGUGACCAGUUGCCUGGGUUUUCUGUCACCAAGACUUCCCUGCUGUGAUGGAUUCUACCCUCACACUGUGACCCCAAAUAACCCCUGCCUCUUUCCGCUGCUUUCACUGGGUGCUCCAUUGUCCUGACAUAAUCACCAGGGAGCCACCCGGCCAUUCUUUUCUUUUUCAUUUUCCAGUCUCUCCCUUCCCUCUCCUCCCUCCAAACCAGCCCUCUACUACUCCUUGUUCUCUUUCAAAUCAUGGCCUCUUUUGAUUGUUCUUGAAUGAGUAUCAAGUAUAUUCCUAAGUAUAACCUGCUCUGUCUGUACAGUGCUGCUUGUAUGCGUGUUUUCAAGGGGGCCAUUUGGUAUUGGAUAACGGAUUGUGUCCUUCUCUGGAGAAGACCAUGUCUUUUGCCCUCAGCCUUCCGUAGUUGCCUGCUGUUCUUUGUGUGGGGCUGAGGCCUCCUGGUCUUUCCCCACCCACUUUGGCACGUCUGUUGGUGUCGCCUUUGAUCAGCUCAUGCCUGGGAAGUCAUGUUUGUGAAAUUUAUGAGUAUACUUCCUGACAUCCCUAGGAGACAUGAUCUUAUAACACAUCCCCUGCUCUUCACUCCCUCUUCUGCAAUGUUUCCUAAGACUGAAAUGUGGGAGUGUUUUCUAGAUGUAUCCAUCGACACCGGAUGUAGGACCUGGGCCAGCUAUGGAAGGUUGCCUGAAGGCCACACCACUUCUGAAAAGCUGCUUGGGAAGCAAACACACCGCUCAGCUGCUUCAAACUAAGAAAACCGAGCAUUUUCCAGCUCAACAGGUAGAGACAAAAAGCCACCAGCCUUCAGGUCAAGAGGAGUCUGAAGAGGAAACAAGGUGAACAACCCCAAGGCCAAGGAGAUGGAGUACAAGUCAUGAGCUGUUUUGUUUCUUCAAACAGCUGUCUGUCUUAGGUUACCAGACUGUGAAGAAACCCAGAGAUCAAAGCAGCUUAGGGAGGAAUUGGGUUUAUUUUGCUUAGGUAUCCUGAAUCACAAUCCAUGAUGGGACACCAAAGCAAGACCUGAAACUGGGCAGGCACCAAGAGGCAAAAGGUGAUGCUGAGACCGGGGAGGAGUGCGAACUUACUGAUUUGCUCCUCAUGGUUUGUUCAGCUUGCUUUCUUAUAGUACCCAGAACUACCAGCGCAGCACCACACACAAUGGGCUGGGCCCUCCCACCCAUAUCAAUCACUAAUUAAGAAAGUGCCCUACAGCUCUGCCUACAGCCUGAUCUUAUGGAGGCAUUUUCUUAAUGAAGGUCCCUCCUUUCAGACGACUCUAGCUUGUGUCAAGUUGACAUAAGAAGAGGGAGGAUGGGGGUUGGGGAUUUAACUCAGUGGUAGAGCGCUUACCUAGCAAGCGCAAGGCCCUGGGUUCGGUCCCCAGCUCCGGAAAAAAAAAAAGAGAGAAAAAAAAAGAAGAAGAGGGAGGAUGCCCUUUAUAUGACCACAGUCCCUCCUCUGAAAAAAAAAAUGAAGCACUCCUUUGGGACUGGGACUAAGUCUUUCUCAAACUUCUCUGGGCUUUCACUGGCCAGGGGAUGCUUGAGAAUCAAACUGAAGCAUGCUACCCUCCAUGUUCCUCAGCGUGGAUAUCUGGUCUUCAUUCUGCAUCUGCCCUGAGGCUGACAGAAGCAACUUGGUAAAAAGGAAGGACUGUGUCUUUGGCAGUUAAUGGAGAAGCAGGAACAACUGUCCACAAACAAGGCUGGGAGAAGGGACCUGUUUUUAGCCCAGAUGUCAGCCUGACAUUUGCUAAUACGUCAACCAAAAGAGGCAAGAACAAGACCCACGGCCUUGCCUUCACAACUCAAUCCUAGCCAUAGCUGUCUGACUGACUUGGGCCUCUCACCACUACUGACAUAUUACCCAGACCCAUGGUCAAGGACAACAUGGUGGGGAGGGGGCUCUAAAUGGAUGGAAGACCUAAAUCUGAAACCCAAGACAUUGAAACUUCAGUGACAGACAAUCCCUAAAUGAUAGCAGUGUGAGAAAAGACUGUCUAAAGAGUAUUCUAACUGCCCAGGGAUCCAGGCCAGAAACUGACAGAUGGAGAAAUUGACAGAGGCCUGCCCCAUAGUGAGGGCACUUGGAGAACAAAAAGAAAACUCAGAACUCCUUAAAGGGGGGCCAGCCCACAUAGGACACCAGGUCCACAGCAUCUCCUUCCUUCCACGGUCCUGAGGACCGCCUGCUACUGAGGGCACUUGGAGAAGGGGAAGUUCCCCACAGAGGGGACAGGCGGCCUGCUCCCCACCCUCUAUCUAGCACCUUCUCCUGCUUAGACCUUGGGGUUUUCCAGAGAAGAGAGAAAUCAGAGAGAAGAAAAGUAUCCAGGGCUUACCAGAGAGGGAGGCAGGCAGGAGAGAGGCCCAGAGCAUUAAGGUCUGCUCUGCACUAAAGGUACUCGGAGAAAAGGAAGAAACAAGCUCCAGGAUCCCAGGUUAGGUGGCCUAUCCUCCAGCAUUCUCUAUCAUCCUUUCUGCCCAGAGCACAACUCUGACAGCACCUACCUAGGAUACUGGGUCACACAGAGCCUCUUUAAAAACAAGAACAGAAGCUCUCUAGCUCCAUGGAUCUGUGGUUAGGUGGAUGGAAACGCUGAGGCCCUGACAUCCUCUCAAGCCACAACCUUUAGACCUGCCUGUAACAGAGGGUACUUGGAAAAAUGUGGGGAAAAGCUUCAAGGCUUUCCAGAGGGGGCCCAGUCUCUCUAGGAUGCCCCAGUUUCUAGCAUCCUCUUUUUAGAGAACAGGGUGGGUGGUAAUGGGGGAUCAGGAGUGUGUGUGUGUGUGUGUGUGUGUGUGUGUGUGUGUGUGUGUGUGUGUUUAUUUCUUUAAAGGGUUUUCCCACAUUUAAAAGCACAUGAAUCCCAGGUAUAGUGACUCCAGCCUUUAUCCCAGCACUGGGGAGGCAGAAGCAGAGGCAAAUGCAUCUUGUGACCUCAAGGCCCUUGAGACUUGGUGAGACUCUGUCUUAAAAAUAAAUAAAUAAAUAAAAACUAAAUUAAAUUUAAUGCA